This 458-nucleotide ribosomal RNA is filed under the name uncultured bacterium. RNAcentral's name for it is "SSU rRNA". It matches the Rfam family "Bacterial small subunit ribosomal RNA", at positions 26 to 518 of the family's 1533-position model. The record is from RNAcentral.
AGAAUCAACGCUGGCGGCGUGCCUAACACAUGCAAGUCGAACGAGAAAGUGGAGCAAUCCAUGAGUAAAGUGGCGCACGGGUGAGUAACACGUGACUAACCUACCCUUGAGUGGGGGAUAACCUCGGGAAACCGGGGCUAAUACCGCAUAACAUCGAGAGAUCAAAGGAGCAAUUCGCUUAAGGAGGGGGUCGCGGCUGAUUAGCUAGUUGGUGAGGUAAUGGCUCACCAAGGCUAUGAUCAGUAUCCGGCCUGAGAGGGCGCACGGACACACUGGAACUGAAACACGGUCCAGACUCCUACGGGAGGCAGCAGUGGGGAAUUUUGCGCAAUGGGGGAAACCCUGACGCAGCAACGCCGCGUGGAGGAUGAAGUCCCUUGGACGUAAACUCCUUUCGAUCGGGACGAUAAUGACGGUACCGGAAGAAGAAGCCCGGCUAACUUCGUGCCAGCAGCCGC